Molecule: ribosomal RNA, 650 nt
Filed under: uncultured actinomycete
Lineage: Bacteria; Bacillati; Actinomycetota; Actinomycetes; Actinomycetales
Description: bacterial SSU rRNA
Rfam family: Bacterial small subunit ribosomal RNA
Source: RNAcentral
CGCGGCCUAUCAGCUUGUUGGUGAGGUAACGGCUCACCAAGGCAACGACGGGUAGCUGGUCUAAGAGGAUGGCCAGCCACAUUGGGACCGAGACACGGCCCAGACUCCUACGGGAGGCAGCAGUGGGGAAUAUUGCGCAAUGGACGAAAGUCUGACGCAGCGACGCCGCGUGUGGGAUGACGGUCUUCGGAUUGUAAACCACUGUCGGGAGGGACGAAUAUGCCGCAAGGCGGGUGACGGUACCUCUAAAGGAAGCACCGGCUAACUCCGUGCCAGCAGCCGCGGUAAUACGGAGGGUGCGAGCGUUGUCCGGAAUCACUGGGCGUAAAGGGCGCGUAGGCGGCCUGAUAAGUAGGGGGCGAAAUCCUGCGGCUUAACCGCAGGGCUGCCUUCUAAACUGUCGGGCUCGAGCGCAGUAGAGGCAGGUGGAAUUCCCGGUGUAGCGGUGGAAUGCGUAGAGAUCGGGAAGAACAUCAGUGGCGAAGGCGGCCUGCUGGGCUGUUGCUGACGCUGAGGCGCGACAGCGUGGGGAGCAAACAGGAUUAGAUACCCUGGUAGUCCACGCCGUAAACGAUGGACACUAGGCGUCGGGGGGAACGACCCUCCCGGUGCCGUCGCUAACGCAGUAAGUGCCCCGCCUGGGGAGUCGG